UGAUAUUCAAAAGAUUUAUUUUUGAGUAAAAGAUAUUCAUAAAAAAGUUGGCAUGAGUCCUAUAAUAUUGGGGGUGGACCUACCUACCUUGAACCCAGGACCAAUUCCGGUGUGCUGCUGUCUAGGCCCAGCUCAGACGCCCACUGCUUUAUGCCCGAGCCCGAUUUCUCUCCGAGAGAUGCUAGACACACGGGCUAACUACAGGGGGUUUACGGGGUGGUGAAGAGUGAUUGGUUGAAAUUUUAUAAAGUGAGGCGGGCCCACCCGUGAAAAUGGGGGGGGGGGGUAUACCUGGCCAUAUCUCGGGCCGGGCCGGGCUUCGGGCCGGGCCAAAAAAAGCCCGACGUCUACGGGACAGGCCCGAGCCCGGCCCGGCCCGACACAUUUCUACGUUUCCCUGGCCCAGGCCCGGCCCGAGGCAAAGCCCGAAAGCCCGAAGCCCGGCCCGACGGCCCGACAGAACAACAUUAAACACUAAACUUUGAUAGUAAACGGCAGUACCCAAACUGCAGCUGAACAUCAGGAAAACAGCAGAAAUACAUAACUAGUUUUGACAGCAAAACAGCAGGAAAGAAUCACUAGUUUUGACAGCAAAACAGCAGCAAAAGGCAAUAGUUUUGAUAGCAGAACAUCAUAGUUUUGAUUGUAGAACAUCAUAGUUUUGACAGCAACUAAACGUUUCAGAUUCGACAAUCAGCAUGUAAACAUUCCAGUUUCGACAAUAGCAUCUAAAGUUCUAAAUGUUCCAGUUUCAACAAACACAAGUGCAUGAAUAUCAUUACAUUCCAGAACCAAAAUAAAAACUAGUAGAUGGAUGGCAUGCCUUCUCCGAAUCUUCUCUUCUCAUUGCUCUAGGAGUGUAGCAACAACUCUACAAGAUGGAAUGAACAGAAAGUUAGCGGUAGUAUAAUAUACUUGACAAUUGACAAUGACAUGAACAAAGAAUAGAGAUGUUACAUUCUUCAUCCGAAGAUGAAUCUUCAUCAUUAUCUAGCGCAAUCACUUCUUCUGCCUUUCUCUUAUUAUCUACAACAACAGAUUGGGUUAAUUAUCAUUUGGAAGUAAAACAUACAAAUAAGAAUGUGAAACAAACAAGAUUACAACAGAUACCUUCUUUUUUCUGCAGUUUGCAACGAUACCAAUCUUGCAAACACAUUAGGGCCUCAACCGUCUUUGGUUUAAGUGAGUUUCGGUUCGGGGUUAUAACCUUCUUACUCAAGCUGAAAGCGGAUUCUGAAGCAACACUUGACACAGGAACUGCAAGGAUAUCACGUGCCAUUCUUGCUAGUUGCGGAUACCUAGCUGCAGACUUACUCCAGAAAUCCAAGAUAUUGACAUUUUCAUUCAACCUCUUCGCAGGUUCAGCCAAAUACAAUUCCAAUUCAGAUCUCUCUUCAUGUGAGCUCGUGCUUUCCAGGUACUGAUCAUAGUCGGAAAAGGCACCAAGUCCACACGUGCUUGAUGAUGCACUUGUUGCUAAGUUUUCAUUGACAUGUACACCACUACCAUACUUAUUAAAUAAAGAAGUCAUUGUAGUUUUAACAAGAUUAAUGCGCUGAAGGGCAUCAUCACCAUCAUAUAGCUUGGAGUAGGCAUAUCCUAAAAACUUGAACUUAAUGCGGGGAUCAAGAACAGCAGCACAAGACAGAAAUAUGCUAUAGUCAGACCAAUAUUUCAUGAAUUUCUCCCUCAUAACUACCAACAUUGGAGCCAUGUAACUAUUUACUCCAGCACUAGCAUGUAUAAUAGCAGAAUGAACAAGAUAGACAUUCAUGAAGUACAAGUUGGCUGUUGGAUACUUUGUUCCUGAGAAAGUUGUAGUUACAUCGAAGAAAACCUCCAAGAACUGAUACAUAUGAGAUACCUUGGCCCAUUCUUCUUCGGAUAGCCAAAAGUUCACCUUGAAUAUGCUGUCCCUCUCAGAAUACCAAUGCAGCACGUCUCUAAAGUACAAACAGCAGCCAAGCAUAGUGUAGGUUGAAUUCCAACAGAUGGGCAUAUCAGGUUUCAACCUUUUUGUUUCUUCAAGGUUGAAUAUAGUUGUAGCAGUACUAUACAACUUAUGCAGCCUAGUGCUUGAAGCCUUUAGGUACAUUAUACCAUCUCUAAGUUUGUCAACACACUUAUCAAUCAAUGUCAAACCGGCUUGAACUACCAAGUUCAGUAUAUGUGCACAACAACGAAUUUGGAAGAAUUUACUGGACAAAGGUAAAGCACCUUUUGACAAGUGGGUACGCAAGCAAGCCACCAUCCUAUCAUUAUAGGCUGCAUUAUCCAGAGUGAUGCACAUCACUUUCUUAUCAAACCUCCAUUCACGGAAAGCUAGGUGGACCUCAUCGGCAAUAUAUGGUCCAUCAUAGGGUGGAUCAAUUUUUUUGAACCAUACAAUCCUUUUGUUUAGUUUCCAAUCAGCAUCUAUGUAAUGGCAAGUAAUGCAAAUAUAGCUAUGCUUGGUGACUUCAGAUUUCCAAUUGUCGGAUGUGAAACUAACUCUACCAGGGGCAGCUAAAAUAAUUUCCAUCAAUUCCUUUUUCUGGCUAAGAAACAUUGCCAUUAUCUCUCUUUUUAUUGUGUGUCGACCAAUAGACUUGAAUUGUGGACAACAAGCAGACAUCAUUGUUCUAAAUCCAUCUUCUUCAAGUGUUGUAAAUGGAUGAGCACCGGAUACAAGAUAAAUAGAGACCGAAUUUCUAGCAACUUGAGCAUCAAAUCUACCAUUUUUUAAUGCAGCUGUUCCAUCAUCAUUUGUUUCAGAUUUCAAGAAAAAAUUAUUCAUUGUCGCUUGUUCAACCUUAUGCUUACUUUCAAUGUGUCUAAGGAGAUGAGAUGUGCCAUUUGUCGAUUUAGCCGACAGUUUAGAGUCGCAAUGGUUGCAUUGAGCUAUAGUCAUCUCAUCACCAUCUUUCGAGAUCUUGGUGAAGUCAAGCCAUACCUUUGACUUCAGUUUGGAAGUAGUAGGUUGCGGCUGCGGCUGUGCCCCUUUGGCAGUAGGUUCUGCAUGUUGUGUUGUUGGUACACUUCCUCCAUCUCCAUGAACAUCAGAUGCUGCCUGUUUUCCAGUUGCUCUUGCACGUUUCUGCCGAGUUCGAGGAGGGUCGGCGGGUACAAUAAACAAUUCCAUUGGUCCAUCCUGCCCUUCUAAUUCUUCAGGAUGGUACUCUGGUUCAUCACCCUCCGGUCCUUCUAAUUCUCUUGAAUUCAUCAUGAUCAAACUGCAACAUAUACGUACAACAACAUAUUACUACCGCAUCACAUGCAAACAGCACAAGUAUUAGUAUAUAAGCGCGGACACAAGAUAAAUAUAGUAUAGCCAUCUGAACUACAUGUUUGCAAUUUUCAACAGCACCAUAUAACCAUCACCCCAUACUCCAGUACAUCCUAAAACAGCACCAUAUCCAUCCUAACAGCACCAUAUCAUCCUAACAUCACCAUAUCAGUACAUCUUUGGAGAUUUUCAACUACAAAAAAAUUAACCUUGGAGGCUUGGAGUUGCAGGCUGUAGCCGGCGGCGAGGAAGAUCGUUGGUGUGGCCUGUAGCCGGCGGCGAGGAAGCUCGUCGGAGACGGAGCGGGGCGGCAGCGGUUGGGGACGGAGCGGCGCGGCCGCGGUCGGGGAUGGAGCGGGGCCACCGCGGGCGGGGACGGAGCGGGGCCGCCGCGGGCGGGGACGGAGCUGCGCGGCUGCGGUCCGCCGCGGGCGAGGACGAAGGGCGACGAACGGCAGGGCAAGCUAGGCUAGGGUUCUACGUCGGCGCCGCCAUGUCGCUCGAGUGAGGAGGAGAGGCUGGGAGUGGGAGGAGGCCAGGAGGGGAUCGAGAAUUCAAGAUGGGGGCGUGGGAGGUGGGAAUUAGGGCAGCCAACGACGAGUGGGCCGCUCUUGGGCUGCUGUUUCCCAUUGGGCAUCGGCCUUACCUCCUCCCUCGCUAGUCGCUGCAGAGAUGCUCGGGCCGGGCCGGGCCUAAUUUCGGGCCAAUAUUGAAGCCCAGGCCCGACCCGAUUUGUUGUUCGGGCUGCAUUUCGAGGCCCAGGCCCGGCCCGAGGGACAAGCCCGGCCCGGCCCGGCCCGGAAAUUUCGGGCCGGGUCGUUACGGGCCGACCGGGCCGGGUUUCCCAUGGCCAGGUAUAGGGGGGGCAAAUUAGAGAAGGGCACGUGUCAGGGUCCGUAAAAGUCCGUCGAGAGAGCCCGUGUGUGUAGUAUUAUCGUUUCUCCCCCAUGCAAAAAAAAAGAAAAAACCCAUUUCUCCCCAGAAUACCCCUCCAACUCUAUAAAGUGCGCCCAGCCCGCGGUCCUUUCAGUUUACUCGAACUCCCCCAAACCAGCAGCGAAAUCUCCAUUCCGAC
RNAcentral lists this long non-coding RNA (4340 nucleotides) under Triticum aestivum (bread wheat). RNAcentral's name for it is "long non-coding RNA (TAES_LNC013753)". The record is from RNAcentral. Lineage: Eukaryota; Viridiplantae; Streptophyta; Magnoliopsida; Poales; Poaceae.